Non-coding RNA from Macaca mulatta (Rhesus monkey), 2585 nucleotides. The record is from RefSeq and is a predicted model, not a curated record. NCBI's taxonomy places the organism in Eukaryota, Metazoa, Chordata, Mammalia, Primates, Cercopithecidae.
AUAAAAGUUUUCAAACUAAAUGCUUUAAGAAAAGGGAGAAGAGCAAAAAGUCUUCCCUCAUUCUAAAGAGAAAGCAUUAAGCCUUUUCUAAUUUGUAUUUGGUCCUACAACAGGCAGGUCUAAAGGUCUGGUCUUGAACUCACUAACGAUGGAAUUCUUGUAGCACAUGACGCACUUGAGCAAACUGUGUGCACCGGAAAGAGGAUGUGUGGGGAAGAAAAGAGCAUAAGAGAGAAAGGUGCUAUCAAGAGCCUUGGGUGGGGGCAAGGCAGGAUUGAUGAAAUGACUGGUUUGUGCUACAAGUUCAGGCCCAGGCAGGGCUAAGCUCUGACUGAUUCCUGAGUCCAUAAAGGCAGAGGAGAUUAAGAUCAGGUGGUCCAGAAGCCUAGGUAGGUGAAGAAAACAGAUUCCUGCUACAGAUCUGGGGUUGACAUGAGCCAGGAGUCUUCUGGGCAUUGUGUGUGUUCUUAGGAGAAAACUGUAGGAGCAAAGCUGCCAUGGGCACAAUUCCUGAGGGUAGAACCCUGUCCUGGGAUGAGUGUGGCCAUUCGAAUACCCAGUGGGCGUGCUCAGGAGUGGGUUAGCACCAGGUGGCGGCCGGCAGCAGGGUGCGGGGAAGGGAUGUUUCUCAGAACUCCUUUCCUCCAAGUUCUCAGUCCCCUCUCUCCCCGCAAGGAGACCUGGAGGAACAGGACAGUGCCCAGCAGGACCGCGCAUGUGCAGAACCCAGUCGCGCCUCUGGCAGACACCAGCGACUCCCUUCAGCCCAGGCUCAGCCAUGUCUCCAUGUGAUUCUUCUGACAGAAAGCCUGCGGAGUUUCCUCAACACCGGUCAAUGCUCCAGCCCCAACGGGCUGUCCAGCAACUCACUAACGACCUCACCCAGAGUCAGCGCAGACCCCACAAGCUCAGCGCUCUUCCCUCAACUGCCCCACUGCAGACGCCAGUCCCUGUGUCUGGACACCCGUUUUCAUUUCUGAAGGCCUGCAAACCAGGGGUACCCACAGCUUCCUCAAGUUCCAUAAUGUGGCAGAACUACUCACAGAACCCAGCGAAGCGCUGUGCAAAGGACACCAGCGUAUUCUAAAAGAUGCCGCUCAGGAACGGCCACGCGGAGGAGGCGCUCAGGGCAAGGGGACUGGUGGGAAAGUUGGGGCGGGCGGGUGAAUGGCUUCCCUUCCUCACACACCUCACAAAAGCCUUUCCUUCAAGACCCGCUGGCAGCCCCCAAACCAAGAGCCACGGGGGCGCUGUCCCAUUAAUGAGUCCCCAUUUGCUCACAUGAACUCUGUGUUUUGAGGGGGCCUCCAUCUCAUUUGGAACAGGGUAAAGUAAGGACGGGACCCCGGACCACAGCUCCUCCCACGCGGUGCCCGCACACGGGGCGCCGGCGUCUUCCGGGUGAGCUCCUCACCCCACAGCCCGGGGAAGGCGCGGGGCUGCGGGCGCAGAGCUGAAGGAGGAGGGCUGCAGGCUGGGCAGAGCCACCGUGCGGGGACCGACAGGAGUGGGGUCCCUCACCGGAGGGGACUGAGGACGGAGGGCUGAGCGGCGGCAGCAGGGACUCAGUACACUCCGUCCUGCCGCCGCCAUUUCCCGCCGGUGCCGAUGAAGCCCCCCCCCUUCAGCCUCGGGAUGCCCUGCCCCGCACACUCACCAUUUCAGGGCUUCAAGGGUGUUGUGAAGUCUUAGCUAGAAUCACCCAAUACCCGCUGGUCACAGAGCAAGAGAGGCUGAGGCUGUGGCGGAAUCACCGAAGCCUCCCUGAGGGGUGGAAGCAGGACAGUGAGCCCCUAACCCAGCUCUGGCUGAAGGGAAAGGUAAAAGCCGCGCCAGAUCCCGGAUGCCGCCCCCUCCUUUGCCUGAUUGGGCAGUUCCCAGUCCAGCGCCCUCAUUGGAUACUGCUACUAGCUCUACGCCCUCAAGCUUUGAGUGACAGAAUUCGAGUGCCAGAAAUUCGACCAUACACUUAACGAGGCAAGAGUGACAGACUCGUGUCUCCAGCACAUACUACUUCAAACCAGCCACAUUCCAGGUACCCAGUAGCUACAUAUGGCAGGUGGCUGCCACAUUGAGUGCAGCCAUGAAGGCUCUGACUUCAGGGAAGUGACGGCCUGAACACCUCUUUUCUGCUGGAAGUAAGGCUUAUAAAACUGUCCCACAUCUACUAAGCAGCUGGCUUGGACUCAGGAUCAUCGUUGGCCUGUCUCUGAAGCCCAUGCACCUCCAUAGACCACACCACUCAGCCAGGUUUCCUGGUCCUUCAAGGGGUGGAAGAGUGACACUUCUGAAGUAGAAGCAAGAUUUUUUUUUUGAGAAUCUCAUCCCAUCUAUCCAGUACUCUUCACCAUUAGAAAUAAUUCACUCCAGGGAAUGCUUCUGAAGUCUCUUGGAAAAACUGGAAAUGAUUUGAGGGAAUGGCUAAGCAUUGGUUUAGGAAAUUAACGCCCACCAUUACAUUUGUAAUUUCUUAUAGGAUAAAUACGAAAACACCUAUAAUGCACUCCACAUAUCUGGAAACCUUUGUAUCCUUAUUCUGUAUUGGUAGGAUACUUAUGAUUUUUAAUAUAGACUAAAUCAACUUA